Molecule: long non-coding RNA, 1361 nt
Organism: Pocillopora damicornis (cauliflower coral)
Lineage: Eukaryota; Metazoa; Cnidaria; Anthozoa; Scleractinia; Pocilloporidae
Source: RefSeq, a predicted model, not a curated record
GGAAAUAGUGACACAGACACUGUAAAAUACAUCUACUUCAGGGGGACAUUUGAAACAAGAUUCCUCAGAAUAUAUCCUAAAGACUAUAACACACCAGGGCAUAGGUGUCUCAGAUUUGAAGUAUACGGGUGCAGUGACAAUACUGUUUGCUCCCGUUUCUUCGAGUGGCCCUUUUUCCUGAAAUCUCUUGACCUGUCAAAUGAAGGAGGGGUGGAAAUUGGGUCAGAUGUCAACUAUCAAGCCUGUCAAGUUGUUCCCGGGAGAACAGCAUAUCUUGAUUAUCAACUGGAAAACAAGUGGGCGCGGGUAUAUCCAGAAAUCUUUAAAGUGGAAAGAGUACAAGGAAAACUAGUUUUCAAGGUUUUGUAUCCAUGUUUUUUAGAGGGAUAAAAGCAUGCAGGUCAGGAGCUCAGAAAUAUUUAUUUAUUACCAGCAGCCUCCAAUCCAACCUGACCCUAACCUGAUAGCUCUUAGCCCACCUUUCAUAUUCACAUGUAAAAAACUGCUGAAGGGUUCAAAUUUGCAUCAGACCCUAUGGGCCAAUACGUCAAUUUUGAAACUGAGUUAAUGUGCAUGAGGUCUCCCGAGAAUAUAUUAUAAUCUCUUGGAAGUCUUUAAAGAAUUGGAAUAUGUCUGCGAUCUUUGCGAAGCUAAAAAUGGUUCUUAAUUGCUGGAUUGGAUUUUUUUUUCUAAGAAAAGCAUUGGAACAAUGUUUUCUUGGAUCAACUGGUGAAUAUUCAAUUUUUGGCAUAACCUUCGACUUCUGGUGUUAUUUUCACAGCUUGUGUUAAUCAAUUUUGUUUCUUGCUCAUUUUUCUUUAAAUUCUGAAGUGGGUGAAUAAUGGUACUGACAAGAACCUUUCAGGCAGAAUCGUUCGGGUAGUGAUCAAUUGCAGUUAUUCAGCAUCUGCAUCUCGACCACCCAAGACUGCUUGCCUGAUUUUCAAGUCCUCAGGGCAGAUCACUUACGUUACUGAUGAUUUGAAUGACAAGUCACUGACGAAGCCAGGUUUUGUGGCAAAGACAACACCACAUAUUUCUCCAAUCACCAAGACAACUUCAGUGACAGAAUCUAUCAACGACACAGGCAAAAAUUACGCAGGAAAAAAUGGGAAUUACAGUGGAUCUGUUGUCGUGAUUGGCGUUGCAGUGGGAUGUGCACUUGUGUUUGGAAUCUUAAUCAUCGUCCUUGUUGUAUUUUGCAAGCGAAGGAAAUUGGAAAACAACCAGCAAGAAACAAAGUCAGCAGUUAGGAACCCAGUGGUUGAGAAUCAAAAGGACAGAGAAAUGGAAGAUGUCUCAACCUUCAGUGAACAAGCCGGUCAAUCAACGUACCAAAGUCUUGUUACCAAUACUGGUAA